UACGUAGGUGGCAAGCGUUGUUCGGAAUUAUUGGGCGUAAAGGGCGCGUAGGCGGCAUGUUAAGUCGGCUGUGAAAGCCCGGGGCUCAACCCCGGAGAGUCGACCGAUACUGGCAGACUAGAGUACAGAAGAGGUAGCUGGAAUUCCUGGUGUAGCGGUGAAAUGCGUAGAUAUCAGGAGGAACACCUGAGGCGAAGGCGGGCUACUGGGCUGAUACUGACGCUGAUGCGCGAAAGCCAGGGGAGCAAACGGG
RNAcentral lists this ribosomal RNA (253 nucleotides) under uncultured prokaryote. RNAcentral's name for it is "partial 16S ribosomal RNA". It matches the Rfam family "Bacterial small subunit ribosomal RNA", at positions 524 to 776 of the family's 1533-position model. The record is from RNAcentral.